RNAcentral lists this transfer RNA (72 nucleotides) under Halobacteriales archaeon. RNAcentral describes it as "tRNA-Ala". It matches the Rfam family "tRNA". Rfam says of the family: Transfer RNA (tRNA) molecules are approximately 80 nucleotides in length. Their secondary structure includes four short double-helical elements and three loops (D, anti-codon, and T loops). Lineage: Archaea; Methanobacteriati; Methanobacteriota; Halobacteria; Halobacteriales. The record is from RNAcentral. RNAcentral also lists the same sequence under 2 other names.
GGGCCCGUAGAUCAGGGGUAGAUCACCCCCUUGGCAUGGGGGAGGCCGCGGGUUCAAAUCCCGCCGGGUCCA